RNAcentral lists this ribosomal RNA (253 nucleotides) under uncultured prokaryote. RNAcentral's name for it is "partial 16S ribosomal RNA". It matches the Rfam family "Bacterial small subunit ribosomal RNA", at positions 525 to 777 of the family's 1533-position model. The record is from RNAcentral.
ACGUAGGAUGCAAGCGUUGUCCGGAAUUAUUGGGCGUAAAGAGCGCGCAGGCGGUCUAUCAAGUCAGAUGUGAAAUAUCCGGGCUUAACCCGGAGGGGUCAUUUGAAACUGGUAGACUAGAGUACAGCAGAGGAUAGUGGAAUUCCCGGUGUAGUGGUGAAAUGCGUAGAUAUCGGGAGGAACACCAGUGGCGAAGGCGACUAUCUGGGCUGAAACUGACGCUGAGGCGCGAAGGCUAGGGGAGCAGACAGGA